UCACUAGAGAAGUGCAGAGUCUGRCCAUUUARGACCAGAGCUCUGAGGUCGAGAUUCCUUCUUCUAGUGAAC
This 72-nucleotide transfer RNA is filed under the name Harmonia axyridis. Its description in RNAcentral is "tRNA-Ser". Lineage: Eukaryota; Metazoa; Arthropoda; Insecta; Coleoptera; Coccinellidae. The record is from RNAcentral.